UGCAUAGAUUACAAUGGAGCUUGAAAAUGUGAUCACCUUGCUUAUAUACAGCAGCAUAGCAAUGGAGAUUUCAGGUUAUGCAACUGUUUGUUUGCACUGCUUAUCUGAGUGCUGAAUCUGGCCUUGAACUGGAAAAGGAUGAAAGAAGUCUGCCUCAUUUCUUCAUAAAACCUCAGGCUCCUUCUGACGUUCAGUCUCCAGCCUGGCUACACAUGGCCCUGCUUCCAGCUGACUAGGCUGUGGAGAACUGCAAAAGCAAGAGAAACUUCCUCUCACCUUCCAAGGCUCCAGAGAGCUCAGAGCUUCAUAGAUGAGAUGUUGCUAGGUAAGCGUAUAAACGAAGGCUGAAGAUGUAACCUGGUGACAAUACAGCUUGGUAGCAGAGUGCUUAAAAAUUAACUAUACAUACUGAGAUUUGUUUUGGUCAUCAUCUUUUUCAGACAGGUAAGUGGUUCAGUUAUUUAUGAAUGUUAAAGCUAGGAGGGAUUUCCAUGUUCAUUUUGUUGCUGUCUGCAAUGUAGAAAAAGUCAGAGGGUUUCAUGCAGCAAUGUCUGUAUCAAGUCUGUAAUUCCAGGUGACUUCUGGCCAAUAUACAGUAUGGAAAGACAUCUAGCUUUCUUUAAGCAACUCAAAUGGUUGAAAUUCAUCUUCCACAGACCAGGUAACUUGUUCAAAUAUGUAAAAAAAAUUCUACACUGCAUAGCCCAAUAAUGCAAUGUGUGUACAUGUACAUUCUCAUUAGCCCUGCAGAGAGGCUGAGAAAAAGGAUGAAUCAUAGAAUCAUAGAAUCAACAAGGUUGGAAAAGACCCACAGGAUCACCCAAUCCAACCAUUCACCCAUCACCAAUAGUUCUCACUAAACCAUGUCUCUCAACACAGCGUCCAAACGUUCCUUGAACACCUCCAGGGUCGGUGACUCCACCACUUCCCUGGGCAGCCCAUUCCAGUGCCUGACCACCCUUUCAGAGAAGUAGUAUUUCCUAAAAUCCAGCCUGAAUCUCCCCUGACGCAGCUUGAAGCCAUUCCCUCUAGUCCUAUCACUAGUUACACGAGAGAAGAGGCCGACCCCCAGCUCACUACAACCUCCCUUCAAGUAGUUAUAGGGAGCAAUAAGGUCUCCCCUGAGCCUCCUCUUCAGUCACAGGCUAAGUGUUUUCUUGGCCUUACUUACUAGAACAGCAAUGAUCAGAACAGACUUAGCAAACUCCAGAAAGAAAACAGAGACACAAGGUAUGUCAGUGCUUACAUAGCAGCACACUCUUGGGUUUGGGCUUUCCACUACCUGUGCUCAUCUGCCAUUAUCUUCAGUAUCACUGUAUGGCUUUGUACUGUGUAAAGGUCCUCUGAGCUGUGUACAGUAAGAGAUCUAAUAGCUACAUGAAGCUAAAAUCCACCAUCAUUUUCAAAGGGUUCCAUUGUUGAGUCUGGAGAGGAGGAAGCUCAGGGGAGACUUUAUCACUCUCUACAACUGCCUGUAAAGAGAUUGUAGCAAGGUGGAGGAUCAGCCUCUUCUCCCACGUAACAGCAAUAGGAUGAGUGUUAAUGGCCUCAAGUUGUAGAAGCGGAGGUUCAUAUUGGAUAUUAGGAAAAAUUUCUUCUCAGAAAGAGUGGUGAUGCAUUGGCACAGGCUGCCCAGGGAGGUGGUGGAGUCACUGUCCUUGAAGGUGUUCAAGAAAUGUUGAGAUGUGGCACUGAGGGACGUGGGUAGCUGGCAUGGUAGGGAUGGGUUGGUGUUUGGACUAGAUGAUCUUGGAGGUCUUUUCCAACCUUAAUGAUUCUGUGAUUCCUUGAUCAUCUCUAUAACUUGUGACUUGUUCAAUACCUACAGUUUUCAUUUCUUUUUUCUCCUGAGACAAGGUAUACUGACAUUUGGUGCUCAAUCAUUCCUUCUCAAUAGGCAGAAUGACUAUCAGUUUUCUCUCCCCAGUAUGCAGGAUUAUCUUCAUAAAUGUGAAAUUUCCUCACUUGUUCCAACAUAAAUGGGCAGAAUACUGAACGCUGUAACACAAGACAUGAAAGUUGCUAAUAUAUUUUCUGUUUUCUCCCAUUCCCCUGUCUUCCUAAAUUUUACAUUUAGUAUUUCAAAGGUAGCAAAUUUUAAUUACUGAAACACAUCAAUCACUGGCUUUAGGACCACUGUGAAAAGCAAAUUAGAUUUCCUUGUGUAUUACAAAGGUCUUUCCUUUGUUUUGCAAUAAAAAUGGCAUAGCACAGCCAUGAAAAGCACAGACACAGAAAAGACAAAAGAAAAGAACUGGACUGUGAAUACAAACUGCAUAUUUAUAGUGAUUGACACAACACCUUCCGAAUCAGAGCACUGUUGACUUGCCACAUAAAGGCAUAUUUUCUAGUGUGAAGGUGAAUAGGUGCUGAAUACAGUUCAGGAACUGCAUUCAUGUACACAAGUUAGAAGGGCCAAGAAUCCCCCUGUGUUAAGGCGCUGUUAUGCAUCAAAUAUAAGAAUAGCCAAACUGGUGAGAACCAAAGUUGGCAGGAGGCAGGCUUGGAGGUUACAGCUGCCAUAAGGGGUAACCUGAGAAGGACUGAGAAUAAGGCAAGAACAGACUAUCUCCUUCUGUGAUACUCUCCCAGCCACCACCUCUUCCCAGCUCUGGUGUUAAGCCUGGUUUCUGUCUAGUUGGUAUCCCCUGAUGCAUUUUUUUUUUCCAUUCAUAUGUUCAGUCUCCCCUUCGUCCCCCCUAAACCUUCAGUGCUCACUAAAUACUAAGGCAGGCAGGCAGUAUUGCUGAUGAAUUACCUGCUGCAUUAGGAAUAACUCACUUCUGUUUGUUUUGAAGCUUGUUCCCUCUAUCUUACUCUGAUGAUCCCCGGUACUUAUAGUGGAAGAGACAGUGAACAAUCAACCCCUAUCCAUCCUCUCCAGCUCACUCCUGAUUUUAUAGCCCUCUAACAUGUUCCCUGUAAUUUGUCUCUUUUCCAGAAAGAAGAAUCUUAUCUUACUUAGCUAUUCCUUGCACAGAACACAUCCUAUAUAUUGAUAGCCCUUGACAAUCAAGGACAAUUGAACCUUUUUCCAGUUCCACUGUAUUCUUUCUGAGAUGAAAAGAACAGAACAGUACAAAGACACAGACAUGCCAUGCAUUUAUAUAAAGGCAUAAUGAUUAACUCUGUUUUGUUCUCUAUUGCUUUACCAAUAGUUCCUAACAUUUGUGAUUCUUUUUGUUCAGUACUAAGCACUGAGAUGUCACUUUCAUGCAAUUACCAACUGUAUCCUCAAAUUCUCUCUCCAAAGAAGUAAAGGUUAGGACAGAACCUCACAAUUUACAAAUGAAACUGGGACGAUGUCUUCAUGUAUGCAUUUCAUUUCAUCAUCCACCUAGUCUGCUCAAAGCUACAUUUUCACUCCUAUCUGCCUUUGCAGUUAUAUUCAGUUCAUAGCAAUGUAUCAGUAUCUACUAGGAGCACAAUACACCAAAGCCUGCACACAGAAGCCUGUAUUGCUGUUGCUUCAAGCUGAAGUGUCCUCCUGAAACAUCAGUGUGAGCAAAGCCAAGGCAGGAAGCACUGGGGAGGGGGAAAAAGAAAAAAGAAAAAAAAAUGGAACACGGAAAUACAUGAACAAAGUUUAAAGAGCUUUCCAUCAGUAAGAUAUUAACAAAUCACCUCCUUUUGGAAAUCGAUACUAUAACUUUUUGGUCAUUUUAUAAAGGAGAAGGUGAAAGUCAGCAUCUGUGUUUGUGCAUGGAAAUCUCAUCUAAGAGCUGGAAUUGAAAAUCAGGAAAGAAGUUUUAAAGGCUUAGGGAAUUUUGUCUUUAUAAUGAGUCUCCUCUGGGCAUAUCUAGCCUGUGCCACUGCUUUCCUUGUAAACUUUGAUAGUUUUUUUAUUGAGAUUAGGGGAAGUUCUUAUUACGCCAUAAUAAACUUUAAAUUUCUUUGCAAACAUGAUAAACAAAGCCCAGAAAAUCACUAGAGAAGUCCUUCUGGGGAGACACAGAACAGAGAUCUUGAACUUGUUUGUACUGACUUCAGUGAAGAGACAUUAUCACAUACAGCAUCAUACAUUUGUAUGAACUCAUGGUAUUUUGCCAAUGUGCAGUAAUGCAGUUUUGGCCUAUGAUCCAAAUUAUGACUGAAAGAGUGAUUUCUGGUUCUAAUUUUAGGUGUGUUUUCUGCAAGGCUAUUACCACUUACAUACCUUUUUAAUGCUUUUUUGGCACACACCCAUUAAUUGCUCACUGAAAAAUCUGGGGAGGGUAUGUUGAGGGUUGUUUUCCACCAUUUUACUUAUCCUAAUUUUCCCUAACUUUUGGCCCCAGACAAAGUACUUUAUUUCACGAUAGCAUUCCAUCAAACAGCCUUGCGGUAGCUUAAAGGCUGACAGCUCAUUCAAAGUGAAUAACUUUAUAACAACAGUUGCAAAACAUUUUUUUUGUUAUACGGUAUAGCUAUUUUAGUCAAAUUUCCAUAAAGCACCCUCUUUCCUGCUCCACGCAUACUUCAGAGGGCUGCAGAACAUUUCAU
Long non-coding RNA from Gallus gallus (chicken), 4482 nucleotides. NCBI's taxonomy places the organism in Eukaryota, Metazoa, Chordata, Aves, Galliformes, Phasianidae. The record is from Ensembl.